This 318-nucleotide ribosomal RNA is filed under the name Aedes rubrithorax. RNAcentral describes it as "eukaryotic LSU rRNA". Lineage: Eukaryota; Metazoa; Arthropoda; Insecta; Diptera; Culicidae. The record is from RNAcentral.
GCUCGUGGAUCGAUGAAGACCGCAAGUUGAACGCAUAUUGCGCACCGUAAAACAGUACGAUGUACACAUUUUUGAGUGCCUAUAUUUAUCCAUUCAAAGCGCUGGCGCGAGGACAGACGCACCACGUACGUGCAGUGACGUUUUUCUGGUUCUCAGUAAAACGUUGAAUAUAAUCAGGCGCGCCCCACCCGGGUGCAGUUGAUGAAUACAUCCCCUAGACCAACGCACUUGGUUAUGUUGUAUUUCAUCGGCAGGCCAGCCGGCCACCACCACCCAGUAGGCCUCAAAUAAUGUGUGACUACCCCCUAAAUUUAAGCA